This 425-nucleotide ribosomal RNA is filed under the name uncultured bacterium. Its description in RNAcentral is "partial 16S ribosomal RNA". It matches the Rfam family "Bacterial small subunit ribosomal RNA", at positions 354 to 796 of the family's 1533-position model. The record is from RNAcentral.
GUAGGGAAUCUUGCGCAAUGGGCGAAAGCCUGACGCAGCCAUGCCGCGUGAAUGAUGAAGGUCUUAGGAUUGUAAAAUUCUUUCACCGGGGACGAUAAUGACGGUACCCGGAGAAGAAGCCCCGGCUAACUUCGUGCCAGCAGCCGCGGUAAUACGAAGGGGGCUAGCGUUGCUCGGAAUUACUGGGCGUAAAGGGAGCGUAGGCGGAUAGUUUAGUCAGAGGUGAAAGCCCAGGGCUCAACCUUGGAAUUGCCUUUGAUACUGGCUAGCGUGAGGAUGGAAGUGGUAUGUGGAACUCCGAGUGUAGAGGUGAAAUUCGUAGAUAUUCGGAAGAACACCAGUGGCGAAGGCGACAUACUGGUCCAUUACUGACGCUGAGGCUCGAAAGCGUGGGGAGCAAACAGGAUUAGAAACCCCUGUAGUCC